UACGUAGGGACCAAGCGUUGUUCGGAUUUACUGGGCGUAAAGGGCGCGUAGGCGGCUUGACAAGUCACUUGUGAAAUCUCCGGGCUUAACUCGGAACGGCCAAGUGAAACUGUCAUGCUAGAGUGCAGAAGGGGCAAUCGGAAUUCUUGGUGUAGCGGUGAAAUGCGUAGAUAUCGAGAGGAACACCUGCGGCGAAGGCGGGUUGCUGGGCCGACACUGACGCUGAUGCGCGAAAGCCAGGGGAGCGAACGGG
Molecule: ribosomal RNA, 253 nt
Filed under: uncultured bacterium
Lineage: Bacteria
Description: partial 16S ribosomal RNA
Rfam family: Bacterial small subunit ribosomal RNA
Source: RNAcentral